This 408-nucleotide unclassified non-coding RNA is filed under the name soil metagenome. RNAcentral describes it as "partial contains 5.8S ribosomal RNA, internal transcribed spacer 2, and large subunit ribosomal RNA". The stretch from base 1 to 120 matches the Rfam family "5.8S ribosomal RNA", at positions 35 to 154 of the family's 154-position model. The record is from RNAcentral.
GAUGAAGAACGUAGCGAAAUGCGAUAAGUAAUGUGAAUUGCAGAAUUCAGUGAAUCAUCGAAUCUUUGAACGCACCUUGCGCUCCUUGGCAUUCCGAGGAGCAUGCCUGUUUGAGUGUCAUUAAAUUCUCAAGACCUGUCUGCUUUUUUGAUAGGUAUUGGAUUUUGGGGGUUGCAGGCUGUUUCAAAUAAAUAGCCUUGCUCUCCUUGAAUGUAUUAGUGGAGAAAAGCCAUUGAACUCCAUUGGUGUGAUAAAACCUAUCAAUGCCAGGAGCAAUAUCACUACUUCUCUCUGCUGUCUAACUGUGACUGUCUGUAUUAAUUAGUAUGGAUGGGGACAACUUGACCAACUUGACCUCAAAUCAGGUAGGACUACCCGCUGAACUUAAGCAUAUUAAUAAGCGGAGGA